AGAGUUUGAUCCUGGCUCAGGACGAACGCUGGCGGCGCGCCUAACACAUGCAAGUCGAACGGAGUUUCCCCUUCGGGGGGAGCUUAGUGGCGGACGGGUGAGUAACACGUGAGGAACCUGCCUUUGAGAGCGGGAUACCGUCUGGAAACGGACGUUAAUACCGCAUAAUGCAGCGAGGCCACAUGGCCAUGCUGCCAAAGAUUUAUCGCUCAAAGAUGGCCUCGCGCCUGAUUAGAUAGUUGGCGGGGUAACGGCCCACCAAGUCUGCGAUCAGUAGCCGGACUGAGAGGUCGAACGGCCACAUUGGGACUGAGAUACGGCCCAGACUCCUACGGGAGGCAGCAGUGGGGGAUAUUGCACAAUGGGCGAAAGCCUGAUGCAGCGACGCCGCGUGAGGGAAGACGGUUUUCGGAUUGUAAACCUCUGUCUUCGGGGACGGAACAAGACGGUACCCGAGGAGGAAGCCACGGCUAACUACGUGCCAGCAGCCGCGGUAAUACGUAGGUGGCAAGCGUUGUCCGGAAUUACUGGGUGUAAAGGGAGUGUAGGCGGGACUUCAAGUCCGUUGUUAAACCGAUCGGCUCAACUGAUCGCUGCGGCGGAAACUGAAGUUCUUGAGUGAGGUAGAGGCAGGCGGAAUUCCCAGUGUAGCGGUGAAAUGCGUAGAUAUUGGGAGGAACACCAGUGGCGAAGGCGGCCUGCUGGGCCUUAACUGACGCUGAGGCUCGAAAGUGUGGGGAGCAAACAGGAUUAGAUACCCUGGUAGUCCACACUGUAAACGAUGAUUACUAGGUGUGGGGGGACUGACCCCUUCCGUGCCGGAGUGAACACAAUAAGUAAUCCACCUGGGGAGUACGACCGCAAGGUUGAAACUCAAAGGAAUUGACGGGGGCCCGCACAAGCAGUGGAGUAUGUGGUUUAAUUCGAAGCAACGCGAAGAACCUUACCAGGUCUUGACAUCGUGUGCAUAGCGCGGAGACGCGUGAAGCCCUUCGGGGCACACAGACAGGUGGUGCAUGGUUGUCGUCAGCUCGUGUCGUGAGAUGUUGGGUUAAGUCCCGCAACGAGCGCAACCCUUACGAUUAGUUACUACGAAAGAGGACUCUAAUAGGACUGCCGUUGACAAAACGGAGGAAGGUGGGGAUGACGUCAAAUCAUCAUGCCCUUUAUGACCUGGGCUACACACGUACUACAAUGAUGGUAAACAGAGGGAAGCAAGACCGCGAGGUGGAGCGAACCCCUAAAAGCCAUCUCAGUUCGGAUCGCAGGCUGCAACCCGCCUGCGUGAAGCUGGAAUUGCUAGUAAUCGCGGAUCAGCAUGCCGCGGUGAAUACGUUCCCGGGCCUUGUACACACCGCCCGUCACACCAUGGAAGUCGGUAACACCCGAAGCCAGCAGCCUAACCCGCAAGGGAGGGAACUGUCGAAGGUGGGAUUGAUGACUGGGGUGAAGUCGUAACAAGGUAGCCGUAUCAGAAGGUGCGGCUG
Molecule: ribosomal RNA, 1487 nt
Filed under: metagenome
Description: bacterial SSU rRNA
Rfam family: Bacterial small subunit ribosomal RNA
Source: RNAcentral